Daphnia pulicaria is the source of this 268-nucleotide long non-coding RNA. RefSeq lists it as uncharacterized. The record is from RefSeq and is a predicted model, not a curated record. NCBI's taxonomy places the organism in Eukaryota, Metazoa, Arthropoda, Branchiopoda, Diplostraca, Daphniidae. The transcript is spliced from 3 exons.
UGUUACCUGUAUAUUGACAUGAGUAAAAUAUGGGCAGGUACAACAAUAAAACAACGAGGAGAUAGGAAGAAAUAAACAAACAAAGACAGAAGAAGGAUAAAACAGAGCUAAGAUAAAAUGCAAUCCAAAAUAAAUAAGCUGGUUGCCAGAGCGCAAUGAAGCGUAAACAGGAGAUAGGGGGCUCGGCGAGUAUCAACUUUGCUAGCAGAUUCACUUAAAAACACGAGUAGAUUAGAAUUAAAAUAACCAUGUAGGCAAGAAAGAAGAA